Molecule: unclassified non-coding RNA, 526 nt
Filed under: uncultured Glomeromycotina
Lineage: Eukaryota; Fungi; Glomeromycota
Description: SSU rRNA
Rfam family: Eukaryotic small subunit ribosomal RNA
Source: RNAcentral
CAGCCGCGUAAUUCCAGCUCCAAUAGCGUAUAUUAAAGUUGUUGCAGUUAAAAAGCUCGUAGUUGAAUUUCGGGAUUGACGUGAUGGUCAUGCCUUAAGGGGUAUGAACUGUUACAGUUGAUUUCUCACCUUCUGGAGAAACUUGAUGUCCUUUAUUGGGUGUCUUGCGGAUCCAGGACCUUUACCUUGAAAAAAUUAGAGUGUUUAAAGCAGGCAUUUUUGCUCGAAUACAUUAGCAUGGAAUAAUAGAAUAGGACGGCAUGGUUCUAUUUUGUUGGUUUCUAGGAUCACCGUAAUGAUUAAUAGGGAUAGUUGGGGGCAUUAGUAUUCAAUUGUCAGAGGUGAAAUUCUUGGAUUUAUUGAAGACUAACUACUGCGAAAGCAUUUGCCAAGGAUGUUUUCAUUAAUCAAGAACGAAAGUUAGGGGAUCGAAGACGAUCAGAUACCGUCGUAGUCUUAACCAUAAACUAUGCCGACUAGGAAUCAGACGAUGUUAAUUUUUUAAUGACUCGUUUGGCACCUUACG